AGCGGACUUUAAAAGCUUGCUUUUAAAGUUCGCGGCGGACGGGUGAGUAACACGUGGGCAACCUGCCUGUAAGACUGGGAUAACUUCGGGAAACCGGAGCUAAUACCGGAUAAUCCUUUUCCUCUCAUGAGGAAAAGCUGAAAGACGGUUUACGCUGUCACUUACAGAUGGGCCCGCGGCGCAUUAGCUAGUUGGUGAGGUAACGGCUCACCAAGGCGACGAUGCGUAGCCGACCUGAGAGGGUGAUCGGCCACACUGGGACUGAGACACGGCCCAGACUCCUACGGGAGGCAGCAGUAGGGAAUCUUCCGCAAUGGACGAAAGUCUGACGGAGCAACGCG
This 341-nucleotide ribosomal RNA is filed under the name Bacillus sp. B49. Its description in RNAcentral is "bacterial SSU rRNA". It matches the Rfam family "Bacterial small subunit ribosomal RNA", at positions 65 to 397 of the family's 1533-position model. Lineage: Bacteria; Bacillati; Bacillota; Bacilli; Caryophanales; Bacillaceae. The record is from RNAcentral.